UCCUGUGGUCUAGUGGUCAAGGCGUUUGCCCGGAAAGCAAAAGCCCCGGGUUCGAUUCCCGGCAAGGGAA
This 70-nucleotide transfer RNA is filed under the name Aphidius gifuensis. RNAcentral describes it as "tRNA-Ser". It matches the Rfam family "tRNA". Rfam says of the family: Transfer RNA (tRNA) molecules are approximately 80 nucleotides in length. Their secondary structure includes four short double-helical elements and three loops (D, anti-codon, and T loops). Further hydrogen bonds mediate the characteristic L-shaped molecular structure. tRNAs have two regions of fundamental functional importance: the anti-codon, which is responsible for specific mRNA codon recognition, and the 3' end, to which the tRNAs corresponding amino acid is attached (by aminoacyl-tRNA synthetases). tRNAs cope with the degeneracy of the genetic code in two manners: having more than one tRNA (with a specific anti-codon) for a particular amino acid; and 'wobble' base-pairing, i.e. permitting non-standard base-pairing at the 3rd anti-codon position. Lineage: Eukaryota; Metazoa; Arthropoda; Insecta; Hymenoptera; Braconidae. The record is from Rfam by way of RNAcentral.